UCCUACGGGAGGCAGCAGUAGGGAAUAUUGCGCAAUGGACGAAAGUCUGACGCAGCAACGCCGCGUGGGUGAUGAAGCAUUUUGGUGUGUAAAACCCUGUCAGUGGGGAAGAAACGUAUGAGUAGUAACUGACUCAUACCUGACGGUACCCACAGAGGAAGUCCCGGCUAACUCCGUGCCAGCAGCCGCGGUAAUACGGGGGGGACUAACGUUGUUCGGAUUUACUGGGCGUAAAGGGCGCGUAGGCGGACUUUCAAGUCGGAUGUGAAAUCUCCAGGCUCAACUUGGAGCUUGCAUCCGAAACUGUUGGUCUUGAGUGCAUUAGAGGAAAGCGGAAUUCCAGGUGUAGCGGUGAAAUGCGUAGAUAUCUGGAAGAACACCAGUAGCGAAGGCGGCUUUCUGGGAUGUUACUGACGCUGAAGCGCGAAGGCUAGGGUAGCAAACAGGAUUAGAUACCCUGGUAGUCCUAGCGGUAAACGAUGGGCACUAGAUGUCGGAAGGCGUUGACCCUCUCGGUGUCGCAGCUAACGCAUUAAGUGCCCCGCCUGGGGAGUACGAUCGCAAGAUUGAAACUCAAAUGAAUUGACGG
This 589-nucleotide ribosomal RNA is filed under the name uncultured bacterium. RNAcentral describes it as "bacterial SSU rRNA". It matches the Rfam family "Bacterial small subunit ribosomal RNA", at positions 337 to 916 of the family's 1533-position model. The record is from RNAcentral.